This is a long non-coding RNA of Olea europaea var. sylvestris, 350 nucleotides long. RefSeq lists it as uncharacterized. Lineage: Eukaryota; Viridiplantae; Streptophyta; Magnoliopsida; Lamiales; Oleaceae. The transcript is spliced from 3 exons. The record is from RefSeq and is a predicted model, not a curated record.
CUUCUCUGUCCUCUCUCUUUCCAUCUGCUUACAGAAGAUUUUAAGUGGGUCAUGAUUACAAAUUAAAUCGUGUGUUGAGCGACUGGAAAGGGAACAACACUUUUCAACUACGAUAUGCCAUCAAAGUAGGUCGCUGUGAACUUGCAAUUAUACUUAGUCAACACCGUGAAUGCUGUGUUCCUAUUGAGGAACUAAUUUGAACCUCUUUAACUUCGAAAAGGAUCAAAGGUAAUACAUUCUGUUGCUCACGUCAGUGGUGUUUUGCUUAAGCUUAAGCUUAAGUAAAUUUUAUAUUUUUAAACAUGUUCCACUAUUUUAUUGUUUCUUGUAAGAAUAAAGGUUCAUUAUAA